AAAAAGCUCGUAGUUGGAUAUUAGAAUUAAUUUGUAUGGUCGGUUGUGAUAAACAAUCUUGUACUGUAUAAGUGAUUCUUUCCUACUGGUUACUCGACUCUGUCCUUUUACUGGAUGGAGUAGUGUCGCAAGGCAUCGCUUAGUGUUAUAUUGCCUAUGAAUGUAGUUAUUGGGUAAAACUGGUAGUGAAAUUCAUGGGAUCACAGUAUGAUAUUAAGUGGGGUUCCAGUUCAUUUACUUUGAGUAAAUUAGAGUGUUCAAAGCAGCCUCUUGGGGCAUUGAAUAGAUUAGCAUGGGAUAAUAGAAUAGGACUCUUGUCUUUUUAUUGGUUUAAAGAUUUAGAGUAAUGAUUAAUAGGGAUAGUUGGGGGCACUUGUAUUCAAUAGUCAGAGGUGAAAUUCUAGGAUUUAUUGAAGACAAACUUCAGCGAAAAGCAUUUGCCAAGGAUGUUUUCAUUAAUCAAGAACGAAAGUUAGG
RNAcentral lists this ribosomal RNA (477 nucleotides) under uncultured eukaryote. Its description in RNAcentral is "bacterial SSU rRNA". It matches the Rfam family "Eukaryotic small subunit ribosomal RNA", at positions 621 to 994 of the family's 1831-position model. The record is from RNAcentral.